RNAcentral lists this unclassified non-coding RNA (267 nucleotides) under Hevea brasiliensis (rubber tree). The record is from RNAcentral. Lineage: Eukaryota; Viridiplantae; Streptophyta; Magnoliopsida; Malpighiales; Euphorbiaceae.
GCUAAAAUGCCAAGAGAACCAACUGUUAAAGAACUCAGACAAGAAAUAAAUUCAGUAAAAACUGAAAUACAGUCCUUAAGAGAAAGGAUAGUUUUGCUAGAAGUAAAACAUGAAUCUCCAUUAAUAAUGGAACUAGCAGAAAAGGAAGAAGAACAGGAACCAAUAGAAAUAAAUAGUCUUCAGUAUGUCAACAGAAUUGAUAGGGUUAUAACUCAUAAAUGGCAUACUAAAGUAACUAUAAUUGUUCAAAAGGAGUACUUAUUUAGU